Long non-coding RNA from Rhododendron vialii, 657 nucleotides. RefSeq lists it as uncharacterized. Lineage: Eukaryota; Viridiplantae; Streptophyta; Magnoliopsida; Ericales; Ericaceae. The transcript is spliced from 2 exons. The record is from RefSeq and is a predicted model, not a curated record.
UGUAUUUGAAUUAUCAAAGUUGGGAUAACAAUGUAGAUAUGAGUUGGGUCAAUGUGAGAUGACUUGUAAGUUGUGGGAGUUGACGUAAUACGAUAGGAGUGAAAGGGUGUAAGUGUUAUUUGUGCUAUAUAAGUCAAAAAAAAAUGGGGCAGGAAACCACUUUCACUUCCCCUUUUCUUUUCUUUUCUUCUCCGGCGUCUCUCUCUCGGCUCUCACCUCUCUCACAUUUUCUCUUCAAUUCCAUCUCCUACGAGUGAGAUUUUUGGAAAAUCCCAAGCACUAAAGUUGUUCUACGCGACGAGAGCUUCCUAUCCAUCGAAGAAAAUUCACGAUCGGAGCACUUCGAAGUUUCCUCCAUGUUCGGGCUUGCUUCUAACCCUCGAGGUACUCGCCAUGGCACUUAGCUUGGAUUGCACAUUGAGACGUCUCUUGAGAGCUUCAUUGGUAUCAUAAAGGAAGUGUUUAUCAUCUAGUCAAAUUCAUGUUGUGUACUUUACUCGCAAUGGAAAGUUGUACCUUUUGAUGAGAAUAUAUGUAAAGCUAUGUGUAAAUUCCUCUCCUUGAUCAUUAUGGAACUCAUUUAAUUGUAAAUGUUUGGGAGACUUUAUGUAAAAAAAAAAAAAUUUAGAGAGAAGAAGAAGAGACUUUGAUUCUUUA